CCUACGGGAGGCAGCAGUGGGGAAUAUUGGGCAAUGGGCGCAAGCCUGACCCAGCAACGCCGCGUGAAGGAAGAAGGCUUUCGGGUUGUAAACUUCUUUUAUCAGGGACGAAGCAAGUGACGGUACCUGAUGAAUAAGUAACGGCUAACUACGUGCCAGCAGUCGCGGGAAUACGUAGGUGGCAAGCGUGAUCCGGAUUUUCUUGGGGUAAAGGGAGAGUAGGCGGGAGUGCAAGUCAGAGGGGAAAAUUAUGGGCUAAACCCAGGGCCUGGAGUUGAAACUGCACUGCUUGAGUGCUGGAGAAGGAGGCGGAAUGCGCGGGGGAGCGGUGAAAUGCAUAGAUAUCGAGAAGAACGCCGAUGGCGAAGGCAGGUUGCCGG
RNAcentral lists this ribosomal RNA (380 nucleotides) under uncultured bacterium. Its description in RNAcentral is "partial 16S ribosomal RNA". It matches the Rfam family "Bacterial small subunit ribosomal RNA", at positions 338 to 732 of the family's 1533-position model. The record is from RNAcentral.